CUACGGGGUGCUGCAGUGGGGACUAUUGCACAAUGGGCGCAAGCCUGAUGCAGCCAUGCCGCGUGUAUGAAGAAGGCCUUCGGGUUGUAAAGUACUUUCAGCGGGGAGGAAGGGAGUAAAGUUAAUACCUUUGCUCAUUGACGUUACCCGCAGAAGAAGCACCGGCUAACUCCGUGCCAGCAGCCGCGGUAAUACGGAGGGUGCAAGCGUUAAUCGGAAUUACUGGGCGUAAAGCGCACGCAGGCGGUUUGUUAAGUCAGAUGUGAAAUCCCCGGGCUCAACCUGGGAACUGCAUCUGAUACUGGCAAGCUUGAGUCUCGUAGAGGGGGGUAGAAUUCCAGGUGUAGCGGUGAAAUGCGUAGAGAGCUGAAGGAAUACCGGUGGCGAAGGCGGCCCCCUGGACGAAGACUGACGCUCAGGUGCGAAAGCGUGGGGAGCAAACAGGAUUAGAUACCCCUGUAGUC
Molecule: ribosomal RNA, 464 nt
Filed under: uncultured bacterium
Lineage: Bacteria
Description: partial 16S ribosomal RNA
Rfam family: Bacterial small subunit ribosomal RNA
Source: RNAcentral